CGCUGCUGGGGAUGCACCUAGUUGAGUUGGCAGUGGAGCACUCUUUGAGCAUCACCUUGGAAGCAUUCUUGAAGACUCUGAAUUUGUUGAAUGUUCCUUAGCGGUGUCUGUUGUUUGCUGUUGCCUACUCAGGUUGUUUCUUUAAAGAGCUUCAAAUGACCGUGUCCAUCCUAAUGUUCUCCAAGCUGCAUUUUAAUUCUCUUUGUUUAUCUCAGCACUUUCAAGUCCCUGGGAGAUUGUGUUACUGUUGCUUGGUACUGGAUGAUGUUCUGUUUAUACGCUUGUAACAUCUGUGUACUUUCGAUUGUGUAGGUGCUCAAUUUCCACAGAAAUGACUGUAGACAGGAAAAUAUUAGUGCUUUCAAGAAAUAUUCUUCUAUUGCCCUGGAAGCCUUGCUGCUGGUGACUCUCAUCUCAUGCAGACCAAUGUGAAAGUCAUCUCAAGACCCAAUAAAACUCAUCAGUUAUCCUCGGUGAGUGAAGCCCUGUCUCCCAUGCACAUGUUCUGGUUUAAAACACAGGACCGUAUCAAAAGUCAGCAGCUCCUCUCUGGUUCUGGGACACGGGAAUUCCAAGAUAUUCCUCAGAUUUAUGUCACUUCCAGUGAGAACAUUUCAUAGGGAUUAGCUCAGCAGCCAGUUUCAUUGCAGGGGGAGCAGCCAGAGACAAGGCUGCUCCAAGGUACUGACAGCAGGUACCACAGGCUGGUGCUUCUCUGCAGGGGGUGAUGCUCCUCACCCACCCCUUACGUUGCCCUGCCGCGGUUUUGCUCACCGACAGCUGAUUUUAUUGCAUUGACUAUCAACAUCUAGCAACGUCACUGCCAGCUGGGUGGGAGGACAGAUGGGGCAGAACCCCACAGCUGCUCCCCCAGGCCUGGCUCUCACCUCUCCAAUGCCCUGACUGCUCUCCAACCCAGUGACUUUGUGUGGCAUUUCCCAAAAUGUGCUGGAGGGUGUCCCUAAGCCCCCUCCUGAAGGUGGUGUGUCCCUCAGCCCAGCCUCACCCUCCCCUUGGACCUGUGCUCCUGCACAAAGCCAGCCUGGGGACAUCAGUGCCACCUGCAGGCAUGUCCUAGCAGAGAAAGGUGUCCUAGCAGAGGACGUGUGUUUUGGAGAAGGUGCUGCUGAGGUGUGUGCCUCCAGAGGACAGCAGGUUGGGAAUCCUCAGUAGAGAAAGCCCUUCUGGUUCCAUUGAGUGAGCAGGAAGGGUUUCCAAUCCACACCCUGUCCUCGCCUUUCCCUGGACCAGUUUGCUGGGAUAAACCUUCAAGAUGGUGGGACUGGUCAUUGCUGUGUCCUGCAGGAGAGCCCGGCCAGAGAGGGGCAGCACCCAUCACUGAGAUCCCCACUGCUGUG
RNAcentral lists this long non-coding RNA (1358 nucleotides) under Calidris pygmaea (Spoon-billed sandpiper). RNAcentral's name for it is "lncRNA (ENSCPGG00000002021.1)". Lineage: Eukaryota; Metazoa; Chordata; Aves; Charadriiformes; Scolopacidae. The record is from RNAcentral.